GUGGAUGAUCUAUCUCUUAGUGGGGAAUAACCCUGGGAAACCGGGGAUAAUACCGCAUAAGCUCGAGAGAGGAAAGCAGCAAUGCGCUGAGAGAGGAGUCCGCGGCCGAUUAGCUAGUUGGCAGGGUAAAAGCCUACCAAGGCAGAGAUCGGUAGCCGGCCUGAGAGGGCACACGGCCACACUGGCACUGAAACACGGGCCAGACUCCUACGGGAGGCAGCAGUGGGGAAUCUUGCACAAUGGGGGAAACCCUGAUGCAGCGACGCCGCGUGAGCGAUGAAGCCCUUCGGGGUGUAAAGCUCUUUCGGCAGGGAAGAUAAUGACGGUACCUGCAGAAGCAGCUGCGGCUAACUACGUGCCAGCAGCCGCGGUAAUACGUAGGCAGCGAGCGUUGUUCGGAGUUACUGGGCGUAAAGGGUGUGUAGGCGGUUGUUUAAGUUUGGUGUGAAAUCUCCCGGCUCAACUGGGAGGGUGCGCCGAAUACUGAAUGACUUGGAGUGCGGGAGAGGAGAGUGGAAUU
This 520-nucleotide ribosomal RNA is filed under the name uncultured Acidobacteriaceae bacterium. RNAcentral's name for it is "bacterial SSU rRNA". It matches the Rfam family "Bacterial small subunit ribosomal RNA", at positions 117 to 668 of the family's 1533-position model. The record is from RNAcentral. Lineage: Bacteria; Pseudomonadati; Acidobacteriota; Terriglobia; Terriglobales; Acidobacteriaceae.